UGAUGAUAUAGAGAGAUUGUUCGUAUAUCCUCAUUGAUAUGGUUUGAGGGUUUCUACAAGGGACCGUAAAUCUCUGGCUACGAACAGGACUGCUUUUUGG
Molecule: non-coding RNA, 100 nt
Filed under: Paenibacillus sp.
Lineage: Bacteria; Bacillati; Bacillota; Bacilli; Caryophanales; Paenibacillaceae
Description: Guanine sequence
Rfam family: Purine riboswitch aptamer
About the family: Riboswitches are metabolite binding domains within certain messenger RNAs that serve as precision sensors for their corresponding targets. Allosteric rearrangement of mRNA structure is mediated by ligand binding, and this results in modulation of gene expression.
Source: RNAcentral